RNAcentral lists this non-coding RNA (36 nucleotides) under bovine gut metagenome. RNAcentral's name for it is "Selenocysteine insertion sequence 4". It matches the Rfam family "Selenocysteine insertion sequence 4". The record is from RNAcentral.
GGAACCUGUACGCGUUGCGGUGCAACGAUAGUCAAA